UUAAGUUCAGCGGGUAUCCCUACCUGAUCCGAGGUCAACCAUAGAAAAUUGGGGGUUGCUGGCCAGCGGCCACCGGGGCCCAGCAGCGAGAAGAAUUACUACGCUGAGGGACCCAAUGGCGCCGCCACUGUUUUUGAGGCCCGCCGUUGCCGGCGCGGUCCAAGACAAGCGGAGCUUGAGGGUUGAAAUGACGUUCGAAC
This 200-nucleotide unclassified non-coding RNA is filed under the name Helotiales sp. RNAcentral's name for it is "partial internal transcribed spacer 2". The record is from RNAcentral. Lineage: Eukaryota; Fungi; Ascomycota; Leotiomycetes; Helotiales.